GACGAGCGCUGGCGGCGUGCCUAAUACGUGCAAGUCGAACGCUUCUUUCCUCCCGAGUGCUUGCACUCAAUUGGAAAGAGGAGUGGCGGACGGGUGAGUAACACGUGGGUAACCUACCCAUCAGAGGGGGAUAACACUUGGAAACAGGUGCUAAUACCGCAUAACAGUUUAUGCCGCAUGGCAUAAGAGUGAAAGGCGCUUUCGGGUGUCGCUGAUGGAUGGACCCGCGGUGCAUUAGCUAGUUGGUGAGGUAACGGCUCACCAAGGCCACGAUGCAUAGCCGACCUGAGAGGGUGAUCGGCCACACUGGGACUGAGACACGGCCCAGACUCCUACGGGAGGCAGCAGUAGGGAAUCUUCGGCAAUGGACGAAAGUCUGACCGAGCAACGCCGCGUGAGUGAAGAAGGUUUUCGGAUCGUAAAACUCUGUUGUUAGAGAAGAACAAGGACGUUAGUAACUGAACGUCCCCUGACGGUAUCUAACCAGAAAGACACGGCUAACUACGUG
Molecule: ribosomal RNA, 508 nt
Filed under: uncultured bacterium
Lineage: Bacteria
Description: partial 16S ribosomal RNA
Rfam family: Bacterial small subunit ribosomal RNA
Source: RNAcentral